AAAUAAGAAGCAAUAUAGCAAUUAGUUUCGACCUAAUCUUAGGUAAUUACAAUCUUUACCCUUAUUUA
Molecule: transfer RNA, 68 nt
Filed under: Perisphaerus sp. 2 ZQW-2023b
Lineage: Eukaryota; Metazoa; Arthropoda; Insecta; Blattodea; Blaberidae
Description: tRNA-Arg
Source: RNAcentral